RNAcentral lists this ribosomal RNA (475 nucleotides) under uncultured bacterium. RNAcentral's name for it is "bacterial SSU rRNA". It matches the Rfam family "Bacterial small subunit ribosomal RNA", at positions 29 to 480 of the family's 1533-position model. The record is from RNAcentral.
AACUAACGCUGGCGGCGUGCCUAACACAUGCAAGUCGUACGAGAAAGCCGGCUUCGGCUGGUGAGUAAAGUGGCGCACGGGUGAGUAACGCGUGGAUAAUCUGCCCUUAAGUGUGGAAUAACGUACCGAAAGGUGCGCUAAUACCGCAUAAUGCCUGGCAACACAAGUUGUCCGGCCAAAGAAGGCCUCUGUUUACAAGCUUUCGCUUCAGGAUGAGUCCGCGUACCAUUAGCUUGUUGGUGGGGUAAUGGCCUACCAAGGCUGCGAUGGUUAGCUGGUCUGAGAGGAUGAUCAGCCACACUGGAACUGAGACACGGUCCAGACUCCUACGGGAGCAGCAGUGAGGAAUAUUGCGCAAUGGGGGCAACCCUGACGCAGCAACGCCGCGUGAGUGAGGAAGGUUUUCGGACUGUAAAGCUCUGUCGAGCGGGAAGAAGUGUACCAUGGCUAAUAUCCAUGAUAUUUGACGGUACCG